AUUCAUAUUUACUUUGCUUUGUCUAUAAAGGUCUUCCUCCUACUUGCCUGCAGAACAUUUUGUUUCUGAAUUAACUUAAAAAAUUAGUAUAUGUCUUGGAGUUUGAAGCUUUAUAACUUUCUUUUUCUUGGAGGCAAUCAAUGAAUUCUUUCCAUUGGUAUUCCAUUUUCUAUAUUCAAAAGUUCUGGGCAGUUUUAUUAUUUCCUGCAUUAUGGUGUUAAGAAUUUUUUGUUUUGUUAUGUUUUUAUGGAUGACCUAAAAUCCUUAGAUUGUAUCUACACAUUUUGUCUUCAAGAUCUGUAUGAUUUGCUUUCAUAGUGAACAUAUUUUCUUUUAAUGCUAUUAUUUUCUGUUUCUCUUCUAGAUUGUCCUUCAAUACAUAUAACUCGAUUCCCAAUUUACUGUUCUCUUUUUUAUUCCUUUAGUCAGACUUGCCUUUGAAGAUUUUAGUUUUUUUCUUCUCCCUUGCUAUUUAGGCCACAAAUUCUGUUCUCAGAAUUCUCACUUCUCUUUUGAACUACUUAGAAACAGUGUAUUAUGGUUCCAUGUUCUUCUCAAAUCCCCUGGGGUCCUCUGUCUCAUAAAGUGUUUGAUCAUUUUCCUUUGUCUUGCAAUAUUUAUUCAUAGAUAUCUGAAUCCACAUACUAGAGCUGGAGUCCAUAUAUCUUUUUGCUGUCAGUGUUUUUCCUGUGGUGGUAUCUGCUUGUGUUCAAGAUGGGGGAACAGAAGGAGAGAAGAGUAA
Molecule: long non-coding RNA, 742 nt
Organism: Monodelphis domestica (gray short-tailed opossum)
Lineage: Eukaryota; Metazoa; Chordata; Mammalia; Didelphimorphia; Didelphidae
Source: Ensembl